CAAAAAGUAGCUUACAUAAAAGCAUUCGACUUACACUCGAACGACAUUAUUACAAUAAUCUUUUUGA
RNAcentral lists this transfer RNA (67 nucleotides) under Chilabothrus argentum (Conception Bank silver boa). Its description in RNAcentral is "tRNA-Val". It matches the Rfam family "tRNA". From Rfam's summary of the family: Transfer RNA (tRNA) molecules are approximately 80 nucleotides in length. Lineage: Eukaryota; Metazoa; Chordata; Lepidosauria; Squamata; Boidae. The record is from RNAcentral.